Rhinopithecus roxellana (golden snub-nosed monkey) is the source of this 1070-nucleotide long non-coding RNA. RefSeq lists it as uncharacterized. The transcript is spliced from 4 exons. NCBI's taxonomy places the organism in Eukaryota, Metazoa, Chordata, Mammalia, Primates, Cercopithecidae. The record is from RefSeq and is a predicted model, not a curated record.
ACCAGCCCAGGCAGAUGCAGCGCGCCGGUCCCCUGAGGCCACCAGCCUAACAGGCUUCAGGGAACCUGGAUCUGCAGGCGGUGGCCGAGGCCGUGGUACAGCCCACCCAGCGUCCACCCUGCGGUCCGCUGCGAUGGUCAAGGUCCUGGAGUACUGAUGACAGGUGCCCUCCCAGGUGCCAAAAGGAGCAUCUGCAGAUACUGUUCCUGGCAAUUGUAGGGCUCCUGGCAAUCGAAGCACAGGGCUUGGCGAUACGAGUGUGCUGAAAGAACGGACGAGCAAAUGAAUGCUGCUCUUCUACCAUCAGAUUUGGAAUCACGGCUCUGGAUUUGGAUUUUUACAACACCAGGGAAAGCCAGGUGCGGAAGGCAGACAGGGCAGAAGGCGCCUUGGAGCUGGCUUUCAUGCACGGGGACAGGGCCCGAGCGGGGACUUACGGAACUUGGUCCCCCGUCGCUGACCCUGGGCAGCUCAGCUCCUUGUGUAUGAGGCGGAUCAGGAACUGCACCAAAACAAAGGUGAAAGAAGUUGGGGCUGCUCCCGCCAUCUGACGAGCAUGGCUGCAGGAGGGACACCAGGACACUGAUGACCAGUGGGAGGCCAGGCUCUGUGUAUCAUCUGCUUUAAUUCCCACAACAGUCUUGUCACUGGGUGCCAUUAUCAUGCCCAUUUUAAAGCUGUGGAAGCUGUGGAGCAGAGGUUAUGAAAUCCGCCCAAGGCACACACAGGACAGAUGAUGGGCAGGAGGAGCUCCAUGCUCCUGGCCUCUGUGCCAUCCCGCCCAAGGCACACACAGGACAGAUGAUGGGCGGGAGAGCUCCAUGCUCCUGGCCUCUGUGCCAUCCCGCCCAAGGCUGCAGACCAAAGACUGUCCUGCUUCUGUUUCUGAUUUUUUCUAACCAGAGAGAGGAGGAGCUUUAGACUAUGCAUAUUUAGAAAAGAUGGGAAGACCCAAAUCUGUCUGGUAACUCAGGAAUGCACGGGAGAAAGUUCCACCAGUGUUUGGCCACAACCACAGAGAUCCGCAUUCAAGGUGGAUUGGACUAAAAAUAGGCCGACUUACCAGUAAG